Molecule: ribosomal RNA, 490 nt
Filed under: uncultured bacterium
Lineage: Bacteria
Description: partial 16S ribosomal RNA
Rfam family: Bacterial small subunit ribosomal RNA
Source: RNAcentral
AUUGAACGCUGGCGGCAGGCCUAACACAUGCAAGUCGAACGGUAACAGGAAACAGUUUGCUGUUUCGCUGACGAGUGGCGGACGGGUGAGAAAUGACUGAGCAACUGCCUGAUGGAGGGGGAUAACUACUGGAAACGGUAGCUAAUACCGCAUAACGUCGCAAGACCAAAGAGGGGGAGCAUCGGGCCUCGUGCCAUCGGAUGUGCCCAGAUGGGAUUAGCUAGUCGGGGGGGUAACGGUUCAACUAGUCGACGAUCCCUAGCUGGUCUGAGAGGAUGAGGGGCCACACUGGAACUGGGCCACGGUCCUUGCUCCUACGGGAGGCAGCAGUCGCGAAUAUUGCGCAGUGGGCGCAAGCCUUAUGCAGCCAUGCCGCGUCUAUGACGAAGACCUUCGGUUUGUAAAGUACGUUCAGCGGUGAGGAAGGGAGUACGCUUAAUACCUUUCCUCAUUGACGUUACCCGCUGAAGAAGCACCGGCUAACUCCGUG